RNAcentral lists this ribosomal RNA (632 nucleotides) under Escherichia coli. RNAcentral describes it as "partial 23S ribosomal RNA". It matches the Rfam family "Bacterial large subunit ribosomal RNA", at positions 1252 to 1869 of the family's 2925-position model. Lineage: Bacteria; Pseudomonadati; Pseudomonadota; Gammaproteobacteria; Enterobacterales; Enterobacteriaceae. The record is from RNAcentral.
GAAGGUGUGCUGUGAGGCAUGCUGGAGGUAUCAGAAGUGCGAAUGCUGACAUAAGUAACGAUAAAGCGGGUGAAAAGCCCGCUCGCCGGAAGACCAAGGGUUCCUGUCCAACGUUAAUCGGGGCAGGGUGAGUCGACCCCUAAGGCGAGGCCGAAAGGCGUAGUCGAUGGGAAACAGGUUAAUAUUCCUGUACUUGGUGUUACUGCGAAGGGGGGACGGAGAAGGCUAUGUUGGCCUGGCGACGGUUGUCCCGGUUUAAGCGUGUAGGCUGGUUUUCCAGGCAAAUCCGGAAAAUCAAGGCUGAGGCGUGAUGACGAGGCACUACGGUGCUGAAGCAACAAAUGCCCUGCUUCCAGGAAAAGCCUCUAAGCAUCAGGUAACAUCAAAUCGUACCCCAAACCGACACAGGUGGUCAGGUAGAGAAUACCAAGGCGCUUGAGAGAACUCGGGUGAAGGAACUAGGCAAAAUGGUGCCGUAACUUCGGGAGAAGGCACGCUGAUAUGUAGGUGAAGUCCCUCGCGGAUGGAGCUGAAAUCAGUCGAAGAUACCAGCUGGCUGCAACUGUUUAUUAAAAACACAGCACUGUGCAAACACGAAAGUGGACGUAUACGGUGUGACGCCUGCCCGGUGC